Molecule: ribosomal RNA, 548 nt
Filed under: Proboscidocoris varicornis
Lineage: Eukaryota; Metazoa; Arthropoda; Insecta; Hemiptera; Miridae
Description: partial small subunit ribosomal RNA
Rfam family: Bacterial large subunit ribosomal RNA
Source: RNAcentral
CUCCGCCCUGUUUUACAAAAACAUGGUCUUUUGUAUAUAUAAAAGAUUUAGCCUGCUCAAUGAUUUUUUUAUUAAAUAGCUGCAGUAUUUUGACUGUACAAAGGUAGCAUAAUCAUUUGUUUUUUAAUUGGAAACUGGUAUGAAUGGUUAGAUGAAAAAUAUACUUUCUUUAUUUUAUAUGAAGAAUUUAAUUUUUUAGUUAAAAAGCUAAAAUUUAUUUGAAAGACGAGAAGACCCUAUAGAAUUUUAAUAUAUAUAGAUAGUAUUUUUUAAUUAAAAAAUACUACCUAGAUAAUAUUUUUGUUGGGGUGAUGGAAAGAACUUUUUAACUUUUUUUAUUUUUUAUAUUUAUGUAUAUUUAUAUGAUCCUUUAAUAUGGAUAAUAAGAUUAAAUUACCUUAGGGAUAACAGCGUUAUUUUUUUGGAGAGUUCAUAUCGAUAAAAAAGUUUGCGACCUCGAUGUUGGAUUAAAAUUAGUUGCAGAAGUAGCAUAUUGUAAACUGGGUCUGUUCGACCUUUAAUUUUUUACAUGAUCUGAGUUCAACCGG